Long non-coding RNA from Alnus glutinosa, 1053 nucleotides. RefSeq lists it as uncharacterized. The transcript has 5 exons. The record is from RefSeq and is a predicted model, not a curated record. NCBI's taxonomy places the organism in Eukaryota, Viridiplantae, Streptophyta, Magnoliopsida, Fagales, Betulaceae.
GAAGAGAAGCGAGUUUUUUUGUUUCCCCUUAGAAUAUCGAAAAAUCGCUUCUUCUUUUUGUUUUUUUUGGUGAUUGCGUGGGGGAUUACUUGUUUGCGUUUGGUUGGGAUGAAGAGGUUAGGAGAUGACGUUUACACUGGCGCUUCUCAACUUAAGCAGCCGUUUGGUUCUUCGCUUGAGGGCUCCGAUGGGCAAUCCCAAAUCCCAGGUGGAGGAGGAUGCAGUGGUCUUGGCGGUACCUCCCUGAAACUGACAACCACUGAUGCCUUCAACUAUCUCCAGCCUCCAGGAAGUGAAGCACAAGUUUCGAGACCAGAGGGAAAAAUAUGACAUGUUUAUUAGAAUUUUUAAGGCUCAAAUGUAGACGCAUUGCACCUAUGAAGUUUUCUGUCUUUGAUUAAUGGAGCGUUGCAUCUAACAACAGCUAACAGUGUUAGAGAAUAUAGUCCCAUAUCCAAUCACAAUUAUAUUGGAGAAUAUAUUUUCUAACAAACAGAUUAUGCCAUUGUUUUUGGCUCUUGCAGAAUAUGUACUCAUCAUGUCACGGCAGCAGUACUGAAGGAAUUAUUUAAAGUGCAUAACAAAUUGAUUUCUGGGUUUAACACCCUCGUGCUAAAGGGAUAUGAGAUAAUCCUUGACGACGACGAAGCUCCUCCGCCCAAAGAAGACGGCCGAAUAUGAAGAAGCUAUCAGCUUUGGGAACAAGAUAAAGCAACGCUCUCGAAAUUAUAGACCUGUUUAUAAAGCAUUCCUAGACAUUUUGGGUAGCUACAUGAAGGAGCGCAAGGACAUAAAUGAGGUCUUUAGUGAGGUCGCCAUACUUUUUGAUGGCCAUCCAGAUUUGCUUGAUGAGUUUCCCCAUCUCCAAAACCCAUUCCAGCCCUUAAAUGAGCGGAGCCAAAUGCAUAUGGACAAGGAUAGGGUCAUUACUUCCAUAACUGGCCUCCUCCACAUCUUGUGGUUCUUCUCUUGGCCAUGGAUUUUUGUUAAAACAGCAGAACAGAAAGUGGUUUUGGCGUUGAGGAAAUGAGCAAGCAAGGUCGUGGGUUAGUG